GCUUACGGCCAUAUCAGCCUGGGUACGCCCGAUCUUGUCUGAUCUCGGAAGCUAAGCAGGGUCGGGCCUGGUUAGUACUUGGAUGGGAGACCGCCUGGGAAUACCAGGUGCUGUAAGCA
RNAcentral lists this ribosomal RNA (119 nucleotides) under Salmo salar (Atlantic salmon). The record is from RNAcentral. Lineage: Eukaryota; Metazoa; Chordata; Actinopteri; Salmoniformes; Salmonidae.